This 433-nucleotide ribosomal RNA is filed under the name uncultured bacterium. RNAcentral's name for it is "partial 16S ribosomal RNA". It matches the Rfam family "Bacterial small subunit ribosomal RNA", at positions 29 to 507 of the family's 1533-position model. The record is from RNAcentral.
AACGAACGCUGGCGGCAUGCCUAACACAUGCAAGUCGAACGAGACCUUCGGGUCUAGUGGCGCACGGGUGCGUAACGCGUGGGAACCUGCCCUUAGGUUCGGAAUAACUCCCCGAAAGGGGUGCUAAUACCGGAUAAUGUCUUCGGACCAAAGAUUUAUCGCCUUUGGAUGGGCCCGCGUUGGAUUAGCUAGUUGGUAGGGUAAAAGCCUACCAAGGCGACGAUCCAUAGCUGGUCUGAGAGGAUGAUCAGCCACACUGGGACUGAGACACGGCCCAGACUCCUACGGGAGGCAGCAGUGGGGAAUAUUGGAAAAUGGGCGAAAGCCUGAUGCAGCAAUGCCGCGUGAGUGAUGAAGGCCUUAGGGUUGUAAAGCUCUUUUACCCGGGAUGAUAAUGACAGUACCGGGAGAAUAAGCUCCGGCUAACUCCGUG